Molecule: non-coding RNA, 114 nt
Organism: Acanthosepion pharaonis
Lineage: Eukaryota; Metazoa; Mollusca; Cephalopoda; Sepiida; Sepiidae
Source: the annotation of a GenBank genome assembly
UUACGGCCAGAUCAUGUUGAAACAUUGGUUCCCGUACGAUCACCGAAGUUAAGCAACGUUGAGCCUGGUCGGUAUCUCAAUGGGUGACUGCUUGGGAAUACCAGGAGCUGUAAG